GCCUGGGUGGCUCAGUUGAUUGAGCAUCCGACUUUGGCUCAGGUCAUGAUCUCAUUGGUGGGUUCGAGCCCCACAUCGGGCU
RNAcentral lists this transfer RNA (82 nucleotides) under Felis catus (domestic cat). It matches the Rfam family "tRNA". From Rfam's summary of the family: Transfer RNA (tRNA) molecules are approximately 80 nucleotides in length. Their secondary structure includes four short double-helical elements and three loops (D, anti-codon, and T loops). Lineage: Eukaryota; Metazoa; Chordata; Mammalia; Carnivora; Felidae. The record is from Rfam by way of RNAcentral.